Non-coding RNA from Cyanistes caeruleus (blue tit), 1606 nucleotides. NCBI's taxonomy places the organism in Eukaryota, Metazoa, Chordata, Aves, Passeriformes, Paridae. The record is from RefSeq and is a predicted model, not a curated record.
GUGGGUUAAGAGCUCUCCUCUUAUUUCAAUGGUAUUGCAACUCCUUGAAAUUCCAGACUGUGUCAAGCAUGAAACUUCCAAGCUUUCAGCAGAUUCAUUGUGCUAUAAAAGGAACCUGCCCUGUGUUAGAGGUGACAUCUGAGAUGGAGGCUUCCCAUAGGUGUACCUUGUAAUGACAGCUGCAGCCUUUGCCUCAGGACAAAGAUACACACUGGAGGACCUGGGCACACUUAGGGGACGGUGGUCUGCAGUAUUCAAACUGCUAGUCCAACAUGACAGAGAUCCUUGUGAGAAGCUGCCAUGGUCAAGUGGUUUCAGAUGGAAACUACUACGGCAAAGCAAUGCCUUUGGACCCUGUGUUGGAAGUAAAGUGCAAUAUCAGCAGUCAAGGUCAAGUAAGCAAGGGCUGAACCCCCCUGCUAACCAGCUGAUGGAGCCUCUUUGCUGCCCUUGAGCUACAAGCCUUCCAGAAGUAUCGUGGGAUUCUGUGAUGAAGCCUUUACCUUUUCCACUUGAAGGUGCCAUCCAGAUAUACCUUGUGAUGAUGGCAUCAGCCUCUGAGCACAGCUGGAGAGUGGGGCUGAGGACCCAGGCAUUCCUAGGAGACGCUGACUGAGAGACAACAGCCUGGUGAUGGCAGGAACUUCCCAGCUGGUGAGGCAGCCUUCUUUUGCACCUGAUGUUAAUUUGCCUUGCUGGACUGAGCAGAUGGAUUAAACCUGUGGCAGAGUGCCCCACACCAGGAAGUAAUACUGGAUACCAGCGGUCAAAGGUGAUGGAAUGAGGUGGUCCACUUGCAAACACCCAGGGGAGGCCAGGCCCUGCCACUGCCCUCAGAAUGCCUAGGAACAGAGCAAACAGGAUUUCUCUGGGCCAUCCAUCCAGAUUAGAUGAAAAGUUGAGGUAUCUGUGAGCAGGUAUGGAGCUGAAGUUUGGAAACAGCAGCUGCCAUGGGGAACGUAUCAACAUCCACAGUGCUGAUGUGCUCUUUUCUGUCAAGGAUGGAUUUUGGCCACUUGUCUUCAGAGAGCUAAGUGUUCAGACUGGUGGUUGGGAGGAGGAAAAUUUUUGGGAGGCAAUUUAAAGUUAGUUUUGAGGGGAGGGCUGUUGUGGGACAUACCCUUUGGGACUAAAGUGGGAGGGUUUUCCUCAGCAUCACCCAAACCUUUAUAGAGCUGUUCCAACCCAUCUCUGUGUUGUCAUGAUCUUCGUGUCAUCAGCCUUUGAGUCUUGAUGUCAUCCUGGAUCUUUUUGCCCGAGGAGCCCACCUUUGGGUCUGGCACGAUGGCCACGGUCACCAUUUUACCUGCUCAUCAGUGCUCAAGCACUUCCUAGGGUAGCAUGCACACAUCCUGAGCCUUGGCCACAUUCUGCAAUGUCCCUUUGGUGGCAGAGUCCUUCUCUAGGGAUUCCUUUGUAUCACCUGGCAGUCAUUGGACCUACUCUAGGCCUACUGUGCUUCUCAAGCAUCCUCUUAACAGCUUCGGCACUGACUUCUUGUAAGGAGAUCUUGGCCUAGAGCCUUCUUUCCUUCGGCAUCAUCGGCCUCUGGCUCAUCUUGCACUAGGAAUCUUGGUUUCAUGAGGUGAAAGUGCUGGGAAGUUUC